Molecule: ribosomal RNA, 491 nt
Filed under: uncultured bacterium
Lineage: Bacteria
Description: partial 16S ribosomal RNA
Rfam family: Bacterial small subunit ribosomal RNA
Source: RNAcentral
GUGAACGCUGGCGGUAGGCCUAACACAUGCAAGUCGAACGGCAGCACAGUAAGAGCUUGCUCUUACGGGUGGCGAGUGGCGGACGGGUGAGGAGUACAUCGGAAUCUACUUUUUCGUGGAGGAUAACGUAGGGAAACUUACGCUAAUACCGCAUACGACCUACGGGUGAAAGCAGGGGAUCUUCGGACCUUGCGCGAUUGAAUGAGCCGAUGUCGGAUUAGCUAGUUGGCGGGGUAAAGGCCCACCAAGGCGACGAUCCGUAGCUGGUCUGAGAGGAUGAUCAGCCACACUGGAACUGAGACACGGUCCAGACUCCUACGGGAGGCAGCAGUGGGGAAUAUUGGACAAUGGGCGCAAGCCUGAUCCAGCCAUACCGCGUGGGUGAAGAAGGCCUUCGGGUUGUAAAGCCCUUUUGUUGGGAAAGAAAAGCAGCAGGUUAAUACCCCGCUGUUCUGACGGUACCCAAAGAAUAAGCACCGGCUAACUUCGUG